This 72-nucleotide transfer RNA is filed under the name Parasteatoda tepidariorum (common house spider). Its description in RNAcentral is "transfer RNA proline (anticodon UGG)". It matches the Rfam family "tRNA". From Rfam's summary of the family: Transfer RNA (tRNA) molecules are approximately 80 nucleotides in length. Lineage: Eukaryota; Metazoa; Arthropoda; Arachnida; Araneae; Theridiidae. The record is from RNAcentral.
GGCCCGGUGGUCUAGGGGUAUGAUUCUCGUUUUGGGUGCGAGAGGUCUCGGGUUCAAAUCCCGGCCGGGCCC